RNAcentral lists this ribosomal RNA (301 nucleotides) under uncultured bacterium. RNAcentral describes it as "partial 16S ribosomal RNA". It matches the Rfam family "Bacterial small subunit ribosomal RNA", at positions 509 to 807 of the family's 1533-position model. The record is from RNAcentral.
CAGUAGCCGCGGGAAUACGGAGGGGGCUAGCGUUGUUCGGAAUUACUGGGCGUAAAGCGCACGUAGGCGGCUUGGUAAGUUAGAGGUGAAAGCCUGGAGCUCAACUCCAGAAUUGCCUUUAAGACUGCCGAGCUAGCAGGUGAGAGAGGUAAGUGGAAUUCCGAGUGUAGAGGUGAAAUUCGUAGAUAUUCGGAAGAACACCAGUGGCGAAGGCGGCUUACUGGCUCAUACUGGACGCUGAGGUGCGAAAGCGUGGGGAGCAAACAGGAUUAGAUACCCCCGUAGUCCCUGUCUCUUAUAC